AUCGAACGCUGGCGGCAUGCCUAACACAUGCAAGUCGAACGAGACCUUCGGGUCUAGUGGCGCACGGGUGCGUAACGCGUGGGAACCUGCCCUUAGGUUCGGAAUAACUCCCCGAAAGGGGUGCUAAUACCGGAUAAUGUCUUCGGACCAAAGAUUUAUCGCCUUUGGAUGGGCCCGCGUUGGAUUAGCUAGUUGGUAGGGUAAAAGCCUACCAAGGCGACGAUCCAUAGCUGGUCUGAGAGGAUGAUCAGCCACACUGGGACUGAGACACGGCCCAGACUCCUACGGGAGGCAGCAGUGGGGAAUAUUGGACAAUGGGCGAAAGCCUGAUCCAGCAAUGCCGCGUGAGUGAUGAAGGCCUUAGGGUUGUAAAGCUCUUUUACCCGGGAUGAUAAUGACAGUACCGGGAGAAUAAGCGCCGGCUAACUCCGUG
This 433-nucleotide ribosomal RNA is filed under the name uncultured bacterium. Its description in RNAcentral is "partial 16S ribosomal RNA". It matches the Rfam family "Bacterial small subunit ribosomal RNA", at positions 30 to 507 of the family's 1533-position model. The record is from RNAcentral.